GACGAACGCUGGCGGCGCGCUUAACACAUGCAAGUCGAACGGAAAGGCCUGCUUUCCCUUGUGGAUUGCGGGUACUCGAGUGGCGAACGGGUGAGUAACACGUGAGUGAUCUGCCCCCAACUUGGGUAUAAGCCUGGGAAACUGGGUCUAAUUCCCGAUAGGACUGCAGGGUGGUGCCUGUGGUGGAAAACGAUUUUCUAGUGGUUGGGGAUGAGCUCGCGGCCUAUCAGCUUGUUGGUGGGGUAAUGGCCUACCAAGGCGGCGACGGGUAGCCGGCCUGGGAGGGUGGACGGCCACAUUGGGACUGAGAUACGGCCAAGACUCCUACGGGAGGCAGCAGUGGGGAAUAUUACACAAUGGGCGGAAGCCUGAUGCAGCGACGCCGCGUGGGGGAUGACGGCCUUCGGGUUGUAACCUCCUUUCGACCGCGAGGAAGCCACCUGGUUGGAAGGGUGGUGACGGUAGUGGUAGAAGAAGCACCGGCUAACUACGUG
RNAcentral lists this ribosomal RNA (494 nucleotides) under uncultured bacterium. Its description in RNAcentral is "partial 16S ribosomal RNA". It matches the Rfam family "Bacterial small subunit ribosomal RNA", at positions 28 to 507 of the family's 1533-position model. The record is from RNAcentral.